This 466-nucleotide ribosomal RNA is filed under the name uncultured bacterium. Its description in RNAcentral is "partial 16S ribosomal RNA". It matches the Rfam family "Bacterial small subunit ribosomal RNA", at positions 28 to 507 of the family's 1533-position model. The record is from RNAcentral.
GACGAACGCUGGCGGCGUGCUUAACACAUGCAAGUCGAACGGAAAGGCCUCUUUCGGGGGGUACUCGAGUGGCGAACGGGUGAGUAACACGUGAGUAACCUGCCCUUGACUUUGGGAUAACUUCAGGAGACUGGGGCUAAUACCGGAUAGGAGCUCCUGCUGCAUGGUGGGGGUUGGAAAGUUUCGGCGGUUGGGGAUGGACUCGCGGCUUAUCAGCUUGUUGGUGGGGUAGUGGCUUACCAAGGCUUUGACGGGUAGCCGGCCUGAGAGGGUGACCGGCCACAUUGGGACUGAGAUACGGCCCAGACUCCUACGGGAGGCAGCAGUGGGGAAUAUUGCACAAUGGGUGGAAGCCUGAUGCAGCAACGCCGUGUGCGGGAUGACGGCCUUCGGGUUGUAAACCGCUUUCGCUCAUGACGAAGCUUUGUGUGACGGUAGUGGGUAAAGAAGCACCGGCUACUACGUG